CUUCAGCGACCCCAGCCACAGUGGCCGGUCUUCGGCACGCCCCUGGCCGUAGGUGGCCAAGACGGCUUGGGCCUC
Molecule: antisense RNA, 75 nt
Filed under: Nocardia neocaledoniensis
Lineage: Bacteria; Bacillati; Actinomycetota; Actinomycetes; Mycobacteriales; Nocardiaceae
Description: ASpks TB sRNA
Rfam family: ASpks TB sRNA
Source: RNAcentral